UCCUCGGUAGCUUAGUGGUAGAGCAAACGGCUGUUAACCGUUCGGUCGCUGGUUCGAGUCCGGCCCGGGGAGCCA
RNAcentral lists this transfer RNA (75 nucleotides) under Rickettsia rickettsii. RNAcentral describes it as "tRNA-Asn". It matches the Rfam family "tRNA". From Rfam's summary of the family: Transfer RNA (tRNA) molecules are approximately 80 nucleotides in length. Their secondary structure includes four short double-helical elements and three loops (D, anti-codon, and T loops). Lineage: Bacteria; Pseudomonadati; Pseudomonadota; Alphaproteobacteria; Rickettsiales; Rickettsiaceae. The record is from RNAcentral. RNAcentral also lists the same sequence under 35 other names.